RNAcentral lists this ribosomal RNA (505 nucleotides) under uncultured bacterium. Its description in RNAcentral is "partial 16S ribosomal RNA". It matches the Rfam family "Bacterial small subunit ribosomal RNA", at positions 28 to 507 of the family's 1533-position model. The record is from RNAcentral.
GACGAACGCUGGCGGCGUGCCUAAUACAUGCAAGUAGAACGCACAGUUUAUACCGUAGCUUGCUACACCAUAGACUGUGAGUUGCGAACGGGUGAGUAACGCGUAGGUAACCUGCCUGGUAGCGGGGGAUAACUAUUGGAAACGAUAGCUAAUACCGCAUAAUAUUAAUUAUUGCAUGAUAAUUAAUUGAAAGGUGCAAUUGCACCACUACCAGAUGGACCUGCGUUGUAUUAGCUAGUAGGUGAGGUAACGGCUCACCUAGGCGACGAUACAUAGCCGACCGGAGAGGGUGAUCGGCCACACUGGGACUGGGACACGGCCCAGACUCCUACGGGAGGCAGCAGUAGGGAAUCUUCGGCAAUGGACGAAAGUCUGACCGAGCAACGCCGCGUGAGUGAAGAAGGUUUUCGGAUCGUAAAGCUCUGUUGUAAGAGAAGAACGGGUGUGAGAGUGGAAAGUUCACACUGUGACGGUAUCUUACCAGAAAGAGACGGCUAACUACGUG